UGCCUUGAGACAUUGUUAGAACAAAAGAAAUGAGCAGAGGAAUAAAACCGAGAGAAAGAACCAAUAUAACAAUAAGAACACAAAUGAGUUGAGAUGAAUGACUCCUCUUAACACCUAUCUCUAUAAAUACUAGAGACACGAGGAUCUUAUACUCAAUGAUCACGCAAAUUCGGAGAUCCCAAAUCGCCUUAUGACACCCAAUCAAAUUAUAUUCGGAGAAACUUUUAAUUACAGAGACCCCCAAUUCCAUUAUAACAGAUUCCAAAAAUCGAAAAAAAAAUCAUCAUAAAAUCUGUGAGAUCAAAAUCAAAUACUAGAUUCAGAAACUCGUCGAUAUUACAAGAUCUUACUAAAAAGGAAACCUAGACUUUUACAAAACCAUCCCCACCAUUUAAAGCAAAUCGAGCAGAGAAGUCAUACCUACCCACGCAUCGCAGUGUACCCCAAUUUGCCGAAUCAUUACAAAUCCAAAGAUGAUUGAUUUUGGCUCCACCCCGCUUCCUUUCCCAAACCUCCCCCCUC
Molecule: long non-coding RNA, 522 nt
Filed under: Brassica napus (rape)
Lineage: Eukaryota; Viridiplantae; Streptophyta; Magnoliopsida; Brassicales; Brassicaceae
Description: long non-coding RNA (BNAP_LNC009700)
Source: RNAcentral